GACGAACGCUGGCGGCGUGCCUAAAACAUGCAAGUCGAACGGUGAAGGGGACUUCGGUUCCCGGAUCAGUGGCGUACGGGUGAGUAACACGUGAGGAAUCUGCCGUAUUGUGGGGGAUACCCAUUGGAAACGAUGGUUAAUACCGCAUAGUGCGCCGGGCCUACCUGGGCCUGGCGGGAAAGAAGUAAUGCGCAGUACGAGGAGCUCGCGUCCUAUCAGCUAGUUGGUGAGGUAACGGCUCACCAAGGCGACGACGGGUAGCCGGCCUGAGAGGGUGAUCGGCCACACUGGGACUGAGAACCGGCCCAGACUCCUACGGGGGGCAGCAGUUGGGAAUCUUGCGCAAUGGGGGAAACCCUGACGCAGCGACGCCGCGUGCGGGAUGACGGUCUUCGGAUUGUAAACCGCUUUUCUCGGGGACGAUAAUGACGGUACCCGAGGAAUAAGCCCCGGCUAACUCCGUGCCAGCCGCCGCGGUAA
RNAcentral lists this ribosomal RNA (480 nucleotides) under uncultured bacterium. Its description in RNAcentral is "partial 16S ribosomal RNA". It matches the Rfam family "Bacterial small subunit ribosomal RNA", at positions 28 to 523 of the family's 1533-position model. The record is from RNAcentral.